GACGGGGGGGGCAAGUGUUCUUCGGAAUGACUGGGCGUAGAGGGCACGUAGGCGGUGAAUCGGGUUGAAAGUGAAAGUCGCCAAAAAGUGGCGGAAUGCUCUCGAAACCAAUUCACUUGAGUGAGACAGAGGAGAGUGGAAUUUCGUGUGUAGGGGUGAAAUCCGUAGAUCUACGAAGGAACGCCAAAAGCGAAGGCAGCUCUCUGGGUCCCUACCGACGCUGGGGUGCGAAAGCAUGGGGAGCGAACAGG
RNAcentral lists this ribosomal RNA (251 nucleotides) under uncultured bacterium. RNAcentral describes it as "partial 16S ribosomal RNA". It matches the Rfam family "Bacterial small subunit ribosomal RNA", at positions 524 to 776 of the family's 1533-position model. The record is from RNAcentral.